Molecule: long non-coding RNA, 431 nt
Organism: Amphimedon queenslandica
Lineage: Eukaryota; Metazoa; Porifera; Demospongiae; Haplosclerida; Niphatidae
Exons: 3
Source: RefSeq, a predicted model, not a curated record
AUACACAUGUACAUGUAGCUCUGGUCCUGAUAGAUACUCUUGACAAACGUGCUAUCAGAUGUCCAGCACACAAAAUUGAUACCAGCCACAAACAGCUGACAAGCAAUUUUUGUGUAAUUCUUGUGUAUCCUUGAUAUCCUUAUUUGUUGAUCCACCCCUUUAGAGACACAGUAGGUGUGAUUGCUCAAAGCCUCGUCACUAACUGCAAUCACAAGACGAAAUGCCAUUAGGACUGGCAGCAAUCUAGGGAUACAUUAUACAACAUAGUAGUGCUCUCUAGCAAUGGCCUUAUUUUUCCCCCAUUUCAAUGCAGAAGAUCUGGGUUUAGUGAAGUGUACUGCAUUAUAUUAUUGACUAUGGACUUUGGUACUUCUUUCCUGUUUAUCUAAGUACAGAAUGCAUGUUUGACAAAGUAAUUCUUCCAAUCCUUU